UUUUGACUUCAAUUUCUACUCUAUAGGGUUUGAGGCCUACCUUACCAAAGAAUACUCAUCCAAAGCUUGAUGAGCUGCUGCACAAGUGUUGGCAACAAGAUCGAGCUGCUAGGCCUGACUUCUCAGAAAUAUUGGAGAUACUACAGCUUAUUGCUAAAGAGGUCGAAGAUGAAUACUGCCGUAAGGAUAAGUCAUCAGGUGGAUUUCUUUCUGUUCUCCGACGUGGCCACUGAAACUUCAUUUGAUCAAAAUGUAGGUACGAUCUCAUCAUCGGCAAUUUCCAGCCAUAGAUAGAGAUAGUACCUUAAAACUGUACAAUGUUCAAAUUUCAUGGUUUGUUUUUCCUGGUUCUUAAUUUUUAUGCUUUUAAUUCUUUUCUCUGUGUUUUUGUUAUUUGUUACCACUUCGUAAGGUGGAAUGUGAUGAGUAGGAGGACUCUUGUUUUUUUGUCGUCUAACAAUUCAUUUCAGUAUGUUAGACUUAAAUAUAUUCUUUAAUCUUGCCACUUAGAAAGGAUUUUAUUUUUUU
Non-coding RNA from Musa acuminata subsp. malaccensis (wild Malaysian banana), 528 nucleotides. Lineage: Eukaryota; Viridiplantae; Streptophyta; Magnoliopsida; Zingiberales; Musaceae. The record is from RefSeq and is a predicted model, not a curated record.